AUACGGAGGAUGCAAGCGUUAUCCGGAUUUAUUGGGUUUAAAGGGUGCGUAGGCGGUUUGCUAAGCGGGAGGUGAAAUGCCGGCGCUCAACGUCGGAAGUGCCUCCCGAACUGGUGGACUGGAAUGACUCUGCCGUGGGAGGAAUGUGUAGUGUAGCGGUGAAAUGCUUAGAGAUUACACAGAACACCGAUUGCGAAGGCAUCUCACGAAGGGUUGAUUGACGCUGAGGCACGAAAGCGUGGGGAUCAAACAGGAUUAGAUACCCUGGUAGUCCACGCAGUAAACGAUGAUGGCUAACGGCUGGGCUUAUCAGUUCAGUGGCCAAGCGAAAGCGAUAAGCCAUCCACCUGGGGAGUACGACCGCAAGGUUGAAACUCAAAUGAAUUGACGGGG
RNAcentral lists this ribosomal RNA (393 nucleotides) under uncultured bacterium. Its description in RNAcentral is "partial 16S ribosomal RNA". It matches the Rfam family "Bacterial small subunit ribosomal RNA", at positions 523 to 918 of the family's 1533-position model. The record is from RNAcentral.